This 1336-nucleotide ribosomal RNA is filed under the name Desmonostoc muscorum CENA61. Its description in RNAcentral is "Nostoc muscorum CENA61 16S ribosomal RNA". It matches the Rfam family "Bacterial small subunit ribosomal RNA". Lineage: Bacteria; Bacillati; Cyanobacteriota; Cyanophyceae; Nostocales; Nostocaceae. The record is from RNAcentral.
GCUUAACACAUGCAAGUCGAACGGUCUCUUCGGAGAUAGUGGCGGACGGGUGAGUAACGCGUGAGAAUCUGGCUCUAGGUCGGGGACAACAGUUGGAAACGACUGCUAAUACCGGAUGUGCCGAGAGGUAAAAGGCUUGCUGCCUAAGAUGAGCUCGCGUCUGAUUAGCUAGUUGGUGUGGUAAGAGCGCACCAAGGCGACGAUCAGUAGCUGGUCUGAGAGGAUGAUCAGCCACACUGGGACUGAGACACGGGCCCAGACUCCUACGGGAGGCAGCAGUGGGGAAUUUUCCGCAAUGGGCGAAAGCCUGACGGAGCAAUACCGCGUGAGGGAGGAAGGCUCUUGGGUUGUAAACCUCUUUUCUCAAGGAAUAAGUUCUGAAGGUACUUGAGGAAUAAGCAUCGGCUAACUCCGUGCCAGCAGCCGCGGUAAUACGGAGGAUGCAAGCGUUAUCCGGAAUGAUUGGGCGUAAAGGGUCCGCAGGUGGCAAUGUAAGUCUGCUGUCAAAGAAUGAGGCUCAACCUCAUCAAGGCAGUGGAAACUACGUAGCUAGAGUACGGUCGGGGUAGAAGGAAUUCCUGGUGUAGCGGUGAAAUGCGUAGAGAUCAGGAAGAACACCGGUGGCGAAAGCGUUCUGCUAGGCCUGUACUGACACUGAGGGACGAAAGCUAGGGGAGCGAAUGGGAUUAGAUACCCCAGUAGUCCUAGCCGUAAACGAUGGAUACUAGGCGUGGCUUGUAUCUACCCGAGCCGUGCCGGAGCCAACGCGUUAAGUAUCCCGCCUGGGGAGUACGCACGCAAGUGUGAAACUCAAAGGAAUUGACGGGGGCCCGCACAAGCGGUGGAGUAUGUGGUUUAAUUCGAUGCAACGCGAAGAACCUUACCAAGACUUGACAUGUCGCGAAUCCUCUUGAAAGAGAAGAGUGCCUUCGGGAGCGCGAACACAGGUGGUGCAUGGCUGUCGUCAGCUCGUGUCGUGAGAUGUUGGGUUAAGUCCCGCAACGAGCGCAACCCUCGUUUUUAGUUGCCAGCAUUAAGUUGGGCACUCUAGAGAGACUGCCGGUGACAAACCGGAGGAAGGUGGGGAUGACGUCAAGUCAGCAUGCCCCUUACGUCUUGGGCUACACACGUACUACAAUGCUCCGGACAGAGGGCAGCAAGCUAGCGAUAGCAAGCAAAUCCCGUAAACCGGAGCUCAGUUCAGAUCGCAGGCUGCAACUCGCCUGCGUGAAGGAGGAAUCGCUAGUAAUUGCAGGUCAGCAUACUGCAGUGAAUUCGUUCCCGGGCCUUGUACACACCGCCCGUCACACCAUGGAAGCUGGCAACGCCCGAAGUC